This 723-nucleotide ribosomal RNA is filed under the name Vibrio sp. 12A11. RNAcentral describes it as "bacterial SSU rRNA". It matches the Rfam family "Bacterial small subunit ribosomal RNA", at positions 33 to 735 of the family's 1533-position model. The record is from RNAcentral. Lineage: Bacteria; Pseudomonadati; Pseudomonadota; Gammaproteobacteria; Vibrionales; Vibrionaceae.
ACGCUGGCGGCAGGCCUAACACAUGCAAGUCGAGCGGAAACGACACUAACRAUCCUUCGGGUGCGUUAAUGGGCGUCGAGCGGCGGACGGGUGAGUAAUGCCUAGGAAAUUGCCUUGAUGUGGGGGAUAACCAUUGGAAACGAUGGCUAAUACCGCAUAAUGCCUACGGGCCAAAGAGGGGGAUCUUCGGACCUCUCGCGUCAAGAUAUGCCUAGGUGGGAUUAGCUAGUUGGUGAGGUAAUGGCUCACCAAGGCGACGAUCCCUAGCUGGUCUGAGAGGAUGAUCAGCCACACUGGAACUGAGACACGGUCCAGACUCCUACGGGAGGCAGCAGUGGGGAAUAUUGCACAAUGGGCGAAAGCCUGAUGCAGCCAUGCCGCGUGUAUGAAGAAGGCCUUCGGGUUGUAAAGUACUUUCAGUUGUGAGGAAGGGGGURWMGUUAAUAGCKKYRYMUCUUGACGUUAGCAACAGAAGAAGCACCGGCUAACUCCGUGCCAGCAGCCGCGGUAAUACGGAGGGUGCGAGCGUUAAUCGGAAUUACUGGGCGUAAAGCGCAUGCAGGUGGUUCAUUAAGUCAGAUGUGAAAGCCCGGGGCUCAACCUCGGAACUGCAUUUGAAACUGGUGAACUAGAGUGCUGUAGAGGGGGGUAGAAUUUCAGGUGUAGCGGUGAAAUGCGUAGAGAUCUGAAGGAAUACCAGUGGCGAAGGCGGCCCCCUGGACA